Folsomia candida is the source of this 422-nucleotide long non-coding RNA. RefSeq lists it as uncharacterized. The record is from RefSeq and is a predicted model, not a curated record. Lineage: Eukaryota; Metazoa; Arthropoda; Collembola; Entomobryomorpha; Isotomidae. The transcript is spliced from 2 exons.
UGGAUGGGGAUGGGGGCAGGGGAUGGAAAUCGACGCAUUCACCAUUCUGGCUGCCUUAGCCUUCUUAACAUUUUUAAUGUCCGUGUUGGCGCAGUUGCUUGCCAGCGUAACGACCACCGGGAAGGUCGGAAUUACGAGAUGUCACCGAAUCUCCGGUUUUACCUAGUGGGCUCGAUUUGGCUACAGUAUCGAGAACUAUUGAAGUAUUGAUUGAAAAAUUAAAAAGUAAGGAGGUUAAAUUAUGGGGUGGAAAUUCUUCAUGGGGAAAGGGUAACAGGGUUGGGAAGGAUAAUUAUUUUACAAAAAAGGACUUCUAGGUUAGGAAUUAAAGUAUAAAAAAUAAGCUCAUAAUUGAAAAAAAUAAUUAAGUAUAAUUAUCAAUUCGGAUACGACUAAUUAUUUCACUCUUAGCAACUUGGUAA